RNAcentral lists this small RNA (861 nucleotides) under Pan troglodytes (chimpanzee). RNAcentral's name for it is "retained intron". Lineage: Eukaryota; Metazoa; Chordata; Mammalia; Primates; Hominidae. The record is from RNAcentral.
GGAGGGGGAGAGCGCGGGCCGCGCGGGCGGGAAGCGAAGAGGCGGGCGGGCCAGCGAGGAGCGCGGAGAGAAAAGGCGCGAGCGGCCAGGAGGGCUCAGGCCGAGACACCUUGCAGCUGCCGCCGCCGCCACCGAGCCGCCGCUGUGCUCACUGAUCCGCCUCCAGGGCCACCGCCAUGUCGAGCCGCGGUGGGAAGAAGAAGUCCACCAAGACGUCCAGGUCUGCCAAAGCAGGAGUCAUCUUUCCCGUGGGGCGGAUGCUGCGGUACAUCAAGAAAGGCCACCCCAAGUACAGGAUUGGAGUGGGGGCACCCGUGUACAUGGCCGCCGUCCUGGAAUACCUGACAGCGGAGAUUCUGGAGCUGGCUGGCAAUGCAGCGAGAGACAACAAGAAGGGACGGGUCACACCCCGGCACAUCCUGCUGGCUGUGGCCAAUGAUGAAGAGCUGAAUCAGCUGCUAAAAGGAGUCACCAUAGCCAGUGGGGGUGUGUUACCCAACAUCCACCCCGAGUUGCUAGCGAAGAAGCGGGGAUCCAAAGGAAAGUUGGAAGCCAUCAUCACACCACCCCCAGCCAAAAAGGCCAAGUCUCCAUCCCAGAAGAAGCCUGUAUCUAAAAAAGCAGGAGGCAAGAAAGGGGCCCGGAAAUCCAAGAAGCAGGGUGAAGUCAGUAAGGCAGCCAGCGCCGACAGCACAACCGAGGGCACACCUGCCGACGGCUUCACAGUCCUCUCCACCAAGAGCCUCUUCCUUGGCCAGAAGUUGCAAGUUGUACAGGCUGACAUUGCCUCGAUCGACAGUGAUGCUGUCGUUCACCCGACAAACACUGACUUCUACAUCGGUGGUGAAGUAGGUAAUGCCU